Molecule: ribosomal RNA, 910 nt
Filed under: Distoseptispora cangshanensis
Lineage: Eukaryota; Fungi; Ascomycota; Sordariomycetes; Distoseptisporaceae
Description: LSU rRNA
Rfam family: Eukaryotic large subunit ribosomal RNA
Source: RNAcentral
AGUGAAGCGGCAACAGCUCAGAUUUGAAAUCUGGCCCCCUUCGGGGUCCGAGUUGUAAUCUGUAGAGGAUGCUUUUGGCGACGCGCCUUCCGAGUCCCCUGGAACGGGGCGCCAGAGAGGGUGAGAGCCCCGUAUGGUUGGACGCCGAACCUCUGUAAAGCUCCUUCGACGAGUCGAGUAGUUUGGGAAUGCUGCUCAAAAUGGGAGGUAAAUUUCUUCUAAAGCUAAAUACCGGCCAGAGACCGAUAGCGCACAAGUAGAGUGAUCGAAAGAUGAAAAGCACUUUGAAAAGAGGGUUAAAUAGCACGUGAAAUUGCUGAAAGGGAAGCGUUUGUGACCAGACUUGUGCCCGGUUGAUCAUCCAGCGUUCUCGCUGGUGCACUCUGCCGGGCUCAGGCCAGCAUCGGCUCUCCCAGGGGGAUAAAGGUCGUGGGAACGUAGCUCUCUUCGGGGAGUGUUAUAGCCCGUGGCGGAAUACCUCUAGGGGGGGCCGAGGCCCGCGUUCGCAAGGAUGCUGGCGUAAUGGUCACCAGCGACCCGUCUUGAAACACGGACCAAGGAGUCAAGCAUUAGGGCGAGUCUUUGGGUGUAAAACCCGCAGGCGCAAUGAAAGUGAACGGAGGUGAGAGCUUCGGCGCAUCAUCGACCGAUCCUGAUGUUCUCGGAUGGAUUUGAGUAAGAGCCUUACCGCUUGGACCCGAAAGAUGGUGAACUAUGCCUGAAUAGGGUGAAGCCAGAGGAAACUCUGGUGGAGGCUCGCAGCGGUUCUGACGUGCAAAUCGAUCGUCAAAUUUGGGCAUGGGGGCGAAAGACUAAUCGAACCAUCUAGUAGCUGGUUACCGCCGAAGUUUCCCUCAGGAUAGCAGUGUUGUCUUCAGUUUUAUGAGGUAAAGCGAAUGAUUAGGGACUC